RNAcentral lists this transfer RNA (68 nucleotides) under Agrilus cyanescens cyanescens. RNAcentral describes it as "tRNA-Leu". It matches the Rfam family "tRNA". Rfam says of the family: Transfer RNA (tRNA) molecules are approximately 80 nucleotides in length. Their secondary structure includes four short double-helical elements and three loops (D, anti-codon, and T loops). The record is from RNAcentral. Lineage: Eukaryota; Metazoa; Arthropoda; Insecta; Coleoptera; Buprestidae.
GUUAUUUUGGCAGAAUAGUGCAUUAAAUUUAGAAUUUAUUUAAGUGGGUUUAUUCCUUCAUUUAACAC